This 28-nucleotide small RNA is filed under the name Bombyx mori (domestic silkworm). RNAcentral describes it as "ovarian small RNA-19593". Lineage: Eukaryota; Metazoa; Arthropoda; Insecta; Lepidoptera; Bombycidae. The record is from RNAcentral.
UAAUAGUAUCCACAAUGCGCCCGAGUGC